UACGUAGGGAGCAAGCGUUGUCCGGAAUCAUUGGGCGUAAAGCGCGCGUAGGCGGCCCUGUAAGUCCGUUGUGAAAGUCAAAGGCUCAACCUUUGAAAGCCGAUGGAUACUGCAGGGCUAGAGUCCGGAAGAGGCGAGUGGAAUUCCUGGUGUAGCGGUGGAAUGCGCAGAUAUCCGGAGGAACACCGGUGGCGAAGGCGGCUUCCUGGACCGACACUGACGCUGAGGCGCGAAAGCUAGGGGAGCAAACGGG
Molecule: ribosomal RNA, 253 nt
Filed under: uncultured bacterium
Lineage: Bacteria
Description: partial 16S ribosomal RNA
Rfam family: Bacterial small subunit ribosomal RNA
Source: RNAcentral